CUACGGGAGCCGGACUUCACUUUCAACUCCAAUUGCAGGUAGACUUCGUCCGAACUCCUACGGGAGCCAGACUUCGUCUCCAGCCCCAGCUGUGGGAAGACUCCGUCCGGACUCCUGUGGGAGCCAGACUUCAUCUCCGACUUCAACUGAAAGAAGACUCCAUCCGGGCUCCUGCGAGAGCCGGACUCCAAGCUCCUCUU
RNAcentral lists this long non-coding RNA (200 nucleotides) under Elaeis guineensis (African oil palm). Its description in RNAcentral is "long non-coding RNA (EGUI_LNC003188)". Lineage: Eukaryota; Viridiplantae; Streptophyta; Magnoliopsida; Arecales; Arecaceae. The record is from RNAcentral.